This 250-nucleotide ribosomal RNA is filed under the name uncultured bacterium. Its description in RNAcentral is "partial 16S ribosomal RNA". It matches the Rfam family "Bacterial small subunit ribosomal RNA", at positions 524 to 773 of the family's 1533-position model. The record is from RNAcentral.
UACGGAGGGUGCAAGCGUUAUCCGGAUUCACUGGGUUUAAAGGGUGCGUAGGCGGAACUGUAAGUCCGUGGUGAAAUCUCCGAGCUUAACUCGGAAACUGCCGUGGGUACUGUGGUUCUUGAAUGUUGUGGAGGUUUGCGGAAUAUGUCAUGUAGCGGUGAAAUGCUUAGAUAUGACAUAGAACACCGAUUGCGAAGGCAGCAGGCUACACAAAUAUUGACGCUGAGGCACGAAAGCGUGGGGAUCAAAC